This is a non-coding RNA of Xyrichtys novacula (pearly razorfish), 3424 nucleotides long. The record is from the annotation of a GenBank genome assembly. Lineage: Eukaryota; Metazoa; Chordata; Actinopteri; Labriformes; Labridae.
GCGGCGCCAAUCACGUUCGUUUAUCAUACCGCGGCAAUUCAGUGUGAGAGGAAGCAGGAGGAGACAGAUGAGCAACAGGUCGGUUUUUAUCUAUUUUCGCUGGUUCUUCACUAAUACAAACGGACAACUUUAUGUAACAAACUUUAUUGAACUCAUAGGAGCCCGUUACUAGUCUGUGGUGAUUUGAGGAGGGCUGUAGAUGUGAAGAUUGAACUGUGGACUGGUGAGCAGAAUUGUUUGUCUUGAUAGCUUAGCCACCUCCAUUCAGAUGAAUGGAUGGUGUUAGCUGGAUGAUGCCAAUGCUUAACUCUAAAAUGUGAUUGCUAAUAUGUAACAUUGAUUCCUGAAUCAAAUGUAUGGAAUGAAAUGAGUAUAUAAUAUAAAUGCUGUAAAUUUUAUUUAUUUGGACUAAUGGCAAGUGCUAUACUGUGGAUUAUGAUGAUUAUGUUGCGAUUGAAAUGAACUGCAGUACUUUGAUUGAAAAGACACAUGUAUACACUGCAAUUCAAGCAAUGUAUAUUGAUUGUGACAUUGUGAUUUACUUGAACCCUGGCUUUACAGGCCAAAGGAAGUGACCUACAGACCCAGGAAGCCCACAUCUCUCUGCCAGGCUGGUAGGGGCUCCUUGUAGCCGCAACACUCUCACCCCACUGUACAGCCCAUCAAUCCAGACACACACACACACACUCCACCCAACAUUUUCCCUUUUCCUCCCAAUCCUCUGGACUCACACCUUUGCACCCAGACGUGGGUUGUUGUGUUGUGAGGAACUAUUGGUGGCCAAGUGCCCAUUACUUAUUUGGUCAUCGUGUUGUUUGACUAACUGAUUGAACUGAUUUACAUUGUCUGACUUCACUGAUUUAUUGCACUGUACUUCUGUUAUCAUUUCCAUGUUAUGUAUGUCCUUGUAUGUCACUGUAAAUAAUUGCACUGUGGUUAUUAGUCAUCUGCUUGCUUAAAUAUAUGGUACCAUUUCAAAAGCAACACUCAGUCUCGUGUCCACUUCUUCCCUGAGCGUUCUCUAAUUCUUCUGGUCAAAAGCCCAAUAUUAUACAUCAAACUAUAUUUACAUCCAUUAAAUUGUGUCAGCACAAGUGCUAUACUACCAUGGUACAACAAAGAGGGAUCAACCAGGAACAGGCCCAAUUCAAGCAGAUCCCAGACUUAUAAAGUGAAGCUAAACGUAUGCCCCUAUCUUGGUUGACAUAGGAAGUGUUGGGGUAGUUAGUCAUAAAAAGUAAUUUGUUACUAGUAAGUAGUUACUUCACUGCUUGUUACUUUACUUUCCCAUUUCUUAAUUUAUCAUGUAGGGAUGCAUGGACAAACAUCAUAUCCCAAUCAUCACUGAUCAUAGUCCGCAUCGUUUUAUUGUAUAAUUGUCACCUGAGCAUAGAGUGCAUUUUACACAAAUAUUUUUGGCCUUUCGACUAAUAAAACAAAAGUAAUGUGAGUAUCACCACUUCCUAAAAGCCCCUGUGUCAUCAGCCUCUGUCUCCGUCUCCAUUUCCAUCUCUAAGUCAGUCAACUCGAUCUCUGCAUAGGACUUUCAAAGACCACAUGAUUGUGCAAUGCAUGGGGUGUCGGACAGCGCCAUCUUUAAAGGCAAUUUUUUGUUUACAUUCGACAGGGAAGCUGCGAGAUAGCAACACGGUGAGAGCAAAACACCCAAGAAAGUGAAUCCUGCGAAAGAAAAGACUGUCAGAGCAUACAGAGACAAGCUGGACGUUACUGUUAUCCAUAACUUUGUAGUGCGUUACCCUCAAAACUUGAAAUAGGACACGGCACACACCUUUAUAAACUUUCUUUUAUAACUUUGCCAUCCCCCAAAGACUUCUUGUGUUUGUCCAAAUAUGGUUAAGGCAAAGAUGUCAUCACUACAUCUAUGGUGUUAUGGUGUUUGGCCACAGAGAAACUGGCUGCUGUGCUGCUGACUGGUCCUCUUACACUGUCUGAGUUCAUAGAACUUUUCUGGCAGGAAAACCGGCCUCAGAGUGUCCUUGUACCACCUGAAAUACAGCUCUUAACUGCCCUGCUUUGGCACAGCCACACUUGUAAUGUGUCUACGUGGAUUAAAUGUCCAUUCACCUAAAGUUUAAUGAGACUCGGCUGUGCCUCCACAAAACAAAAAACCAACCCAAAACUGUAAAUAAAACCCAAUUAAAACAAAUAAGUACAUAAAGGCAGGAGGACGCAUUCUUCAAAACUUGGGUCACAACAAUAAUAAGACAUUAGCCAAAAAAGGCACUGAAAAAGGUAACUUUGAAGUAUGCACCUUCAAGGGCAAAUCAAAUAUGAGGAAUAGAGGCAGUGUGAGUGAGCCCUGUUACAACACUGCCAGUUACCAUUAGCAGUAAUUGGCAUUUCUCUGUUUAAAAAGAGAAGUAUGCAGAUUGAGUUCAUGAAACAAUAGAUAGUUAUACUCUCUACAUAUCUGAAUAUGAAGUAAGUGUAUGUAAUUGUUCUGUCUCUAUGGGGAAUGUGCAGCCUUCAGUGUAAUCUACUCACUGCAGUUCUGAGGCCUCUGGGUAUUUCCAGCCUGCAGCAUCGGUUUCAGGCACCAGGCAUUUUGUAGAAAUAAAGCUCUCUUUGAAGUGUGGGUCAUCUUUUUUGAUAAACAAUGUUUUCUUACGCUUCGGCAAAAACAAAGUGUUGAUAUUGUGUAAUCCAAAUUACGUAAAUAACAGUUCAAGCAAGGGACAUUAUUUAUUCUUAAUGAUGUGCCAAGAUUUUCCUUUUCUUUUCAUUGCUGUAAUGAUGUGCCCCAUCGAGUGCUGAGGGUAUGUUCUGCCAAAAGACAACAAAAUGACUCAAUUAUUGCACGUUAAUUUUUCCCUCAGUUAAUCUGGCAUGUUCAGUUGUCGGCCAGUGGCCAAAUAGAUGCUUUGAAUUAUCAAAUAAUCACCACAAAGUAACGCUUCCAGUACCGAUCUUUUAUUUUUAUUUCACCCAAGUGUCUUUGAGAGGCUCACUAAUGCGUGCUGAUUAUCCUCCUACUGUAUAUUUUUCACCUUGGGUUUUUGGAAAGAUGUGCUUUUAUUUUCUUAUUUCCUAGUCUAACUUGUUAGCUGUGAUAUUUUCCUAUGCCCACGCGCAUCUUUGUCAUGUUAAUUUUAAUUUUUUUCAUUCUUUUUUUUUUUUUUCCAGGUAUGUAUCAGAGAGAAGACUUAAACAGACUGACUGCCAGCUGAGCAAGAAAGAAAGUUUUGGUCCUUGACCCAGAGGUACAUUGGUGAAGUAAUCUGAGUUUAAUUACCCUACCUAGGUAAGGAAUUCAGAGAUUACACAGGUGAAAGUAUUAAGGAUGUAAAAUAUUGCAGAUUAAAGCAUGCUUGUUUUUGUAUGGCUGAAGAAAUGGUGACUAAACUAUGAUAAUUGGCUCAAAAUCGGCACGAUUAAGUUGUCCAGAGUUUUUAUUGAUUACAAC